This is a long non-coding RNA of Strigops habroptila (Kakapo), 2952 nucleotides long. RefSeq lists it as uncharacterized. Lineage: Eukaryota; Metazoa; Chordata; Aves; Psittaciformes; Psittacidae. The transcript has 2 exons. The record is from RefSeq and is a predicted model, not a curated record.
GGGGUGGCAUGAGAUCAGCAUGUCCAGCCUCUGCGGCGUGUGCAGAUUCUCGUGGGGUUUUGCAGGCUUGCAUCACUUAACUGCUGAUCGAGCUGCCAGCAGGGCAGACAUGGCCCAAGAAGUCGCUGUCCCCUUUGAAAACUUCCUAAGUUUGGGUAACAGCUGCUUGUCAGGGCACCGAGUUUCCAGAUGCAAGUGUCUGUAAUGAGUAGCCUCAUGGAUGGAUGGAUGGAUGGAUGGAUGUUAGUUUUGGAGGGACUGCAGCCUGCAAUAUCAGGCUGGUGAUGUGUGAGCUGUCCUCACUGAGGUUCAGACUAGCUUCAGAGCUGACUGCUGGGCUGACGAGGCAAAUUCUCUUCUCUUAACAUGGACUAAGUUUUAAGCGUAUUGAAGGAGCUGUGAACGUAGAAUUGAAAACCAGUGGAUCUAAACCUCAUUGCCUCAUUUUCCUGUUUCUCUGUGAUGCUGCUCAAAAGUAGCACUAGUAGAUUUUUAUUUAUUUAACCCUCAAUUCUUGAGAAUUCCCCUUUAAGCAGCACUAUGUAAAGUACAGUCACGGUUACAAAAUCUGCUGUAUGAUUCAGGUAUGUGUCCAAAUCUGGCUUGAUAAAAGUGCAUGAAGAUAAAUAGUAGGGUUUGCCUGAUGUAAUUGUGAUGUAGUCCGUCAAGAAACACAUCUCCUCAAGAAAGAAGGGUUCUUGUCCUGCCCACCAAGCGAAACAAAUUGUUGAAACAAGGGGAAAAAAGAAAGCUGCUUAGUACAAACCUUCUAGGGUUAAGCCUAGCCGUUAUAAUCCACCCUUGCAGCAGGAUUUGAGUGUUCUGUAUCAAUAAAUAGAAUAUAUCUUUCCACUGUUCUGCUCUAAAGGUACACCCAAAACUCCUGAGUGUUUCAAGGUACCAUUAAUUAUGUGCAGGGAUUUAGGACUUUUAAAAUAUUUUAUCUUUUGCUGUAUUUAAAAGAGCUUUUUAGAUACGUCAGCAGCGCAUCUUUAAAUGAACAUUGAACGAUGGCAUGAGCAUCAGUGGCUGUUCUCUUAAAUAUUUACAUCCCAUGAGGCUGAUGUUGGCUCAUUCUUCCCAUUUCAUUCAUUCUGUGGAUUACUCCCCCAUCCUCCUACUGUAAAGGUACAGGUGCAGUUGGAGAAGCCUGAGAAUUAAGAACUGGACCUAUGAAAGGGGCGUGGGUGCUACAUCUUGAAUGUUCUCUGAAUGAAUUAGAAGUCAGGGAAGGUUUUGAGGGUGGUUCUGGUUGACACACCAGGAUCCCAGGCACUGCUGGGAUCCCUGUGCUGUGCCUGGGAGGGAGCAGGAUUUGCCUGGGGUGCCAGGAAGGGAGGAAAAGGAAAGGAGGAAGGGAGGUCCUCUCCUCACCACCCACCGAGCCGGGCUUGCCAUUUGCGGAGCGCGUGACAGCUUUUCAGCAGUCCUGAUUGACAAACAGCUCAGCUCCAUGAACCAAACCCUCUGUGUGUGCAGCGAGGUGCAAGUCUCAAGAGGGAAUAGAGAGCAGUGAUGGUUUUGUUGUGCUUUGGAGUGAUGGACACUUCUCGGCUAUUUAUGUGACACUGCUGGACUUGUUCUGCAUACAAUUUGUUCCUGUCUCCUCUCUUGCUCGUGCUAUCCUUCAGACAAAACUGCUCGUAAAUACAUAGUCUGUAGUUUUUUACUACAUUGCUAAAAUCAGUCCUGAAGCCCUUGUGUAUGUAAGCAUGACCUUUGAAAUACUUCCAGCAAGGGAAAAAAAAAGCCACAGUGGUUUUCCUUUACACCACUGUGUAGAAGUUGUGCUCUCUGUGAGCACUCGUUUGUCCAUCCGCUUGGUCUGGUGAACACUUUCCCUUCAAAGCCAUAAAAGCCCCUAGGAAAAGCUUAUCUUUUGCAAAUACGACUUGCCAAUGCAUUCCUCCAGCAGCUGACAUCUUCAGAGACUGCUUUCUGUAUUAAAUAUGCAGCUCUUAAAAUUAGUCUUCAUUUAAAUGCAGUGUUCCUUUUUUAUGUGUGUCUCUUUGUUGCUGAGGGCAAUUCGGAGUACGUGCAACCGAACAAACAGCGGCUCAGCUAAAUGCUUCUAACUGAAGAGUUUCUGAAUUAAAGGUGCAGUGGGAUCUUAUGUUUUGCUUCUGGUUUAUUUAAUAAUAGCUGCCAGUGAAUGAAGAGCACUUGGGAUGUGGUAUCAGACACUCUGUUUCUCAAAUACAGAGAGAGCGAGAUGUGGAACUGCAGUGACCUGGGCAAAGUCACUCUCCCCAGCCAGGAGCAGAGCGAGGUGAUACCAACUGUAGGAAAGAGAAGCAAGUAACAUUAAUGGGUGAUGCAGAGCCCACCAUACAUGUAUUGUGGCCAGCAGAAAGAGGACACCAACUGUGCUCAUCUCUGUGGGGGUGAACACAGAGCGAGCCCAGCCUGAGGGGACUUUAAAAGGUGGCUUUAAACUGGUACUUUACUGCAUCACUUUGAACUUGGGUACAGUGAUUUAACAAGCUGCUUGAGCCCAAACUGUGACAGAUGUCUGCAGAGAUGCCCCUGUUGUCACUGCAUCGCAGUCCCUAAGCAAAUGUUUUCAUGCAAGUUCUUUAUUGCACCCUGGAGUAAAUCUGAGUUCCUUUAUCAUGUGAUUGAUGGAUCAACUAAAUUAAAUACAAAGCUCUUGCUGGGUUAUAAACACAGAGGAAACCUGUAUGAGAACCGUGGCGUUAUAGUUCAGAGACAGCAUUAACAGGAUCUGUGCAUAGUGGUGUUUGUAGUGAAAAAUAAGAGAGGCACCAAAACUGUAUCAGCGCAAUGCUGGAAGUUUAAUUUUGGGCUUUAAAAUCCUCUGCUGAAGUGUUCAGAGGUAUUGGGGGGAGUUUCUGAGAAACAGUUGCAGAAGAGGAAUUCUAAUAUGAAAGUUUGAUGGGGUUGCAUCAUUUUGAGAAACCCCAGAUGAAUUUUGAGGUCCAGUAGUAGUUU